RNAcentral lists this long non-coding RNA (920 nucleotides) under Olea europaea subsp. europaea. The record is from RNAcentral. Lineage: Eukaryota; Viridiplantae; Streptophyta; Magnoliopsida; Lamiales; Oleaceae.
CAAUGCAAUUAAUUGGAUAUUGUGCAAUUGAUCGAAGCAUUGAUUGACAUCAUGGAAAUAUUGUAUACAAAAGCAAUUGUUAAUUCUCAUAGGAACAAAUAUCGAGGAAAAAUUGAUUUCUUCACAUGUAUACAUAAAUAUGUAUGUAGAAUAGACACGUUAAGAAAUAGAGUAAUUUAAUUUGUGCUUUUACCUAAAAAAUUUCAUGUUGAUAACAUAUUAUAAAAUAAAGAGAGAAGGAGAGAGAAUAGAAAAGUCAAUAGACUUUUAUGUAUUUUAUUCAGAACCGGGGCACAUAUUUAUGGAGAAUAAUUAGAGAUACAAUGAUAACAACAAGAGCACAAGUACAAUUGUCAUUCACUAAUAACUAGGCCAUUAAAUGAUCUACCUUAAACUUGCAGUCAAAGUUUGUUAGAAAUUUGCAUGGGCUCCUGGUAAUGUUUAAAAGCAAUAAUUGCUAGAACCAAUAGUUAAAAAAUAAAACUUGUCUAGACUUUGCGAGACAAGUAUAUAAUGUAUUUCCAGCAAACUCAAAGAAUAUAUCCUCUUCUACUAAAUUGCAUGGGAUGAAAAUGCAUGAACAGAUUUCCCUCUGUUAUGAAUGCAUCCAAGUAAAAAUCUCCAAAUCAAUCUUAGUAAAUAAUGCGGGUAGAAUUACUUAUUGGAGCGAUCUUGCUCUCCUACUAUCAGCAAUUAGUGGAAGAUAAACCAAGUAAGGCAUGAGAUCUCACCUCUCUUUGUGACCCGUAAAGUUGCGAAGGCACCUAUUGUCAUACCAUAAUAUUUCUGGCAACAAAAUGAUCGCGAAGAGAAAAAAUGUCAGAACUUCGAUGUCAUAGUUCCAAAAUCAUAAAUAUAAGGCUAAAGCCACUAAACUCCAUAGGAAUCCAAAUUGUGCCUUGAAUUGCACGUGACAGAAC